This 411-nucleotide ribosomal RNA is filed under the name Apocephalus sp. 624 JMH-2018. RNAcentral's name for it is "partial 16S ribosomal RNA". The record is from RNAcentral. Lineage: Eukaryota; Metazoa; Arthropoda; Insecta; Diptera; Phoridae.
GUUUAUCAAAAACAUGUCUUUUAGAAUUUAAUUUAAAGUCUAACCUGCCCCCUGAAAAAUUUUAAAUGGCCGCAGUAUAUUAACUGUGCAAAGGUAGCAUAAUCAUUAGUCUUUUAAUUGGAGGCUGGAAUGAACGGUUGGAUGAAAUAUAAACUGUUUCAUAUAAAUUAGUAUUAAAAUUUUAUUUUUUAGUUAGAAAGCUAAAAUUUAAUUAAAAGACGAGAAGACCCUAUAAAUCUUAGUAUUUUAUUGGGGUGAUAAUAAAAUUUUAAAAACUUUUAAUUUAUUAUAAACAUAAAUUAAUGAAUUAAUGAUCCAUUUAUUAUGAUUAAAAAAUUAAGUUACUUUAGGGAUAACAGCGUAAUUUUUUUAGAAAGUCCUUAUUAAUAAAAAAGAUUGCGACCUCGAUGU